RNAcentral lists this long non-coding RNA (214 nucleotides) under Vigna radiata. RNAcentral's name for it is "long non-coding RNA (VRAD_LNC018395)". The record is from RNAcentral. Lineage: Eukaryota; Viridiplantae; Streptophyta; Magnoliopsida; Fabales; Fabaceae.
CGGAUGAUCGGCCUGGUGGUUGGUCGAACUGGAUGAUCGGCCUGAUGGUUGGUCAACCCAGAUGGUCGGCCUGGUGACCCGAAUGGUCGGCCUGGUGACCCGGAUAAUCGACCUGGAUGAUCGGCCUGGUGGUUGGUCGACCUGGAUGGUCGGCCUAGUGAUGCCUAGGAGACUGUACGGUCCUCGGGGUACUGUACAGUACAUCAGCCCCCCA